ACGAACUCACGAACCGAGCCGUGACCAAGAAGAAAAACCCUCCGUACGACAAACGCCGCGGCGCCGCCCACCGAGACACGGCCGAUGGUCACCCCGCCGUCGCCCCGGCGGUCUGCCGCAGGCGCUGGCGCCGCUGCGGGGGCCCCGCGCGUGCUGCUUGCCCUGGUGGUGCUCUACGGCUUCAUGUCAUUCCUAGUCUACCGCGUCAUCCACAUGCGCCACGUCGCCCCGCUGGACAGCGACGCGUCGCCAGACGAAUUCUCCGAGGGACGCGUGCUGCAGCACCUCCGCCGCCUCGUCGUUGAUAUCCCUUGCCGCCAGGAGGGGAGACCGGGGUUGGAGACCGCCGCGCAGUACAUCAAGGGGCAGCUCGAGGGGCUUGCUGCGCAUGCUGGGCCGGAGUACAGGGUAGAUGUUGAAGAAACAAUUGUCAGUGGCUCUUUCAGCAUGAUGUUUUUGCGCCACAGAGUAACUCUAGGCUACAGAAAUCAUAAAAAUAUUGUUAUGAGGAUUUCAUCAAAUGUUUCAGAAGAGGAUGAACCAUCCCUUUUGGUGAAUGGACAUUUCGACAGUCCACUUGGAUCACCUGGUGCAGCAGACUGUGGUUCCUGUGUUGCAUCUAUGCUUGAACUAUCACGACUUAUGCUUGAGUCUGGGUGGAUCCCUCCUCGGCCAGUCAUUUUCCUUUUCAAUGGUGCUGAGGAACUUUUUCUUCUGGGUUCGCAUGGUUUUAUGAAGACACACAAGUGGAGCAGCACAGUUGGUGCUUUCAUUAAUAUCGAAGCUUCUGGAAGUGGUGGUGCUGAUUUAGUUUGUCAGUCUGGACCGGGAUCUUGGCCUUCUCGUAUUUAUGCUCAGACUGCAAAGUAUCCAAUGGCAAAUAGUGUUGCUCAGGAUAUGUUUGGAAUAAUUCCAGGUGAUACAGAUUAUAGGAUAUUUGCUGAAGACGUAGCAAAAAUCCCAGGACUUGAUAUUAUCUUUGUUCUUGGUGGUUAUUUUUAUCAUACUUCUUAUGAUACACUGGAAAACCUGCUUCCUGGAAGUAUUCAAGCGCGCGGUGAAAAUUUAUUCAACCUUGUAAAGGCUUUCACAAAUUCUCCGAUGCUGCUAAAAGAGAGCGAGAGAUCCAAUAAAGCUGUUAAUGAGGGAAUCGACGAUCUGAGAGCUAUCUUCUUUGAUUACUUGACUUGGUUCAUGAUCUUUUAUCCACGUGAUGUGUCUCUGAUUAUUCACAGUCUUCCUGUAGCUAUUUUCCUUCUUACACCAUUGUUCCUGAGCUUCCCAAAUAUUACCAUGAUAUCAUUGUUUCGGACUGUUCUGGAUUUAGCAAGAGGAAUGUUGCUUCAUGCAUUUGGUGUCAUCCUUGCAAUAGUCGUUCCUGCUAUGACUGCAGGCCUUAGAUUGUUGUUCACAAAGAAUGCAAUGAAUUGGUUUGCUCACCCUUGUUUGGCAUUUUUUAUGUUUGUCCCGGCAUCAUUGGUCGGUUUAUUGCUGCCGAGGAUCAUAUGGGGGCUAUCAGAGCAAUCACACUUUUGGGGUGCUUUUGGUCUCUAUUCUCUAGUAACUCUGGCUUACAUGCUAGCUGGGCUGAGUGGAGGUUUUCUAACAUUUUUUAUUUCCAUGUCCCUUCUUCUUGGGCGAUUUAUCUCUAGCAUCAGCAGGAAGCAGUUGGGCCAACAAUCACCUAAGUCAUUGUUUGGAUAUGUGAUACCAAUGAUCCCAUGUCUCCUGUAUUGUCUUUACUAUGGAGGGUUCCUUAUCCAGUUUUUGAUUGAAAAGAUGGGAAUGAUGGGAUCUCUUCCAAAACCAUAUGGACAUUUUGUUCCUGAUAUUAUUGUUGGAGCCAUGGUUGGAUUGGUAGUGGGUUGGUGUUUUGGUCCAUUAGCACCUAUUGUUAGCUGUUGGUUGGCCAAAGCAUCCAUUCUGCAUGGCUUUUUGCAAAUUACAGUGGUUGCUAUGGCUGUUUCAUCCCAAGUAUUUCCUUACAGCACCGGAGCACCAAAACGAGUUGUGCUUCAACACACCUUUGUCACAGAUGCUAGUAACAUUGUGGAGUCAAACUAUGGUUUCUCUGUGGUUGAUGCUAAUUCGUUGGAGUUUGUUUUCAACAACGCACCUGAGGCAGCAAAAUGGCUAAAAGAUAACUCAGAGUUAUCCUUAAAAGAAAAAUAUCGAUCUGAUAGAAGCACGUGGGUGGCAUUAUAUCCUGUCCCUUUCUUGUUCUCUGGAAGUUUGAAGUUUCCUGCACAGACUGAAGAGAUUAGAAAGCACCACCAGCAUUUCCCCCAGCUAGUUGUUCAGAAGACAUCAAGUAACAAUUGGAACCGACGGGUGCAUCUACAGCUCUCACUUGGUUCAUUAUCAGAGGUUUGGACCACUUCGCUCAAUAUUACUGGUCCAUUAUCGAAUUGGUCUUUUGCUGACAACACACUUCCAGCUCCUCAAACUGUAAGCGGUGGACCACCAUCAUAUAUCUGUCGACUUACUGGACAAAGUAAUGAGAAUUGGUCUUUCUGGUUAGAGGCAAACUCUUCCGAACCACUGAGAAUCGAUGUGGCUGUACUAGACCAGUUUCUUGUUGAUAGCACGAAAGAACUGAAGAGCCUCUUUCCAAGUUGGGCAGAUAUGACAGUCUUCACCACAUUUUUCUCAACUUACUAUUUGUAAACUCUAUAUAAUUGUAAAUCUGUGUAUUUAGGAGGGGGGAAUUAAAUAGGUAUGCUAUGUUUCGGGAGCAGGACGUAUUCUUCUCCCAAGUAGGUGGUGCUGGUCUUGAUGCCACCUUAUUUGUAAUAUCAUCAUAACAAUAAUUUAAUAUAUAGCGGUUUCAAAAAGGAAAAACCUGAAACAAAAAUAAACUGGUAUAGCGACCCCAAAUAUUCACCGUGUAACACGUACUCCAUUCAUUUUAUAAGGUGGAAACAAUUUCGAGAGU
Molecule: ribosomal RNA, 2935 nt
Filed under: Triticum aestivum (bread wheat)
Lineage: Eukaryota; Viridiplantae; Streptophyta; Magnoliopsida; Poales; Poaceae
Description: partial small subunit ribosomal RNA
Source: RNAcentral